RNAcentral lists this ribosomal RNA (445 nucleotides) under uncultured bacterium. RNAcentral describes it as "bacterial SSU rRNA". It matches the Rfam family "Bacterial small subunit ribosomal RNA", at positions 331 to 793 of the family's 1533-position model. The record is from RNAcentral.
CCAGACUCCUACGGGAGGCAGCAGUGGGGGAUAUUGCACAAUGGGGGAAACCCUGAUGCAGCGACGCCGCGUGGGUGAAGAAGCGCCCCGGCGCGUAAAGCCCUGUCAGCAGGGAAGAAAAUGACGGUACCUGAAGAAGAAGCCCCGGCUAACUACGUGCCAGCAGCCGCGGUAAUACGUAGGGGGCAAGCGUUAUCCGGAUUUACUGGGUGUAAAGGGGGCGCAGACGGCGAUGCAAGCCAGGAGUGAAAGCCCGGGGCCCAACCCCGGGACUGCUCUUGGAACUGCGUGGCUGGAGUGCAGGAGGGGCAGGCGGAAUUCCUGGUGUAGCGGUGAAAUGCGUAGAUAUCAGGAGGAACACCGGUGGCGAAGGCGGCCUGCUGGACUGCAACUGACGUUGAGGCCCGAAAGCGUGGGGAGCAAACAGGAUUAGAUACCCUUGUAC